Long non-coding RNA from Lynx canadensis (Canada lynx), 1252 nucleotides. RefSeq lists it as uncharacterized. NCBI's taxonomy places the organism in Eukaryota, Metazoa, Chordata, Mammalia, Carnivora, Felidae. The transcript has 3 exons. The record is from RefSeq and is a predicted model, not a curated record.
AAUUUCUUUUUCUUUUGCCUUUGUUCCCCACAUCACACAGCGCACGGAGCUGCCGCAGUGGACCGGCCGCUACUCUGGGCAGUGCGCACCAGAGGCUGAAGCUUGGGUUAGAAAGUUGGAAGAGCUGAAGUUAGGAAGGCGGUUGUCCAUGACUCUGCUGGCUUCGGGGCUCACAGCACGGUCGACAUGCUUGGCUGCUGAGAACGCCGAACCCUAUCACACCGGAAAGAGGCGUUCUCUGCGUUCUCUACUGGAACUUGCGAUGAGACAUCCCCCGGGAUGGGGAGGGGCCAGUUUGGCGAACCAACAAUGCCACAACCUCAGGUGGUGAAGACUGCACGAUCCCCAUUCCCUUUUUACUCAGAGAUAAGAGGCUUUGCCCGAGGCCAACGCAGCUAGGAAAUGGCAGAGCCGGGAUUCGGACCCAGGUCAUCCAUCUCCUGAGCACCUGUGUGCUCCGAACCUCUACACCAUGUCACCUGUGCUGAGAGAGCAUCUAAGUCAACCGUCGUCUCCCCCCCGAGGACAGGAAUUUUGUGUGCCUUCUGCGCAGCUGAAUUCCCAGUGCUUAGGACAGGGCGAGGCACGGAGCAGUACCCGAUAGAUACCCGUUAAAGGAAGGAAUGAACAAAUUCAGAAAGAGACUCAUUUUCACCGGUUGUUGAUGAUGGUGGUGGUGGUGGCGGUGAUGAAGAAAUAAAUGACAUGGGGUACAAUGACUUGGGGAAAAUCGCUCGGCAGCUUCCUAAAAAGUUAGAUGCGUAACUCCCAUAUACGACCCGGGCAUCCACUCCUAGGGGUACACGCUGGAGAAAUGACAGCCGAUGUUCACACAAAGACUUGUACACCAGUGUUCAAAGCACUCCUAUUUGUAAUGGCCCCAAACUGGAAGCAACCCCAAUGUCCAACCAACAGGUGACUCAAUAAACCAACCGGGGUGACUUAACCUGUUCCACGCAAUGGCCUAGUUCCACACGCACGGAUCUCAAAACAAUGAUGCUGGGUGGAAAAACAACAACAACAACAGAAAAAGCCAGACGUGGGAAUACAUACUACAUAAAUUGCAUUCCAGAAAAUGCAAACUAACCAAUGGUGACAGAAAGCGGAUCUGUCUUUGUGCGGGGCGGAGUGUGUGCGGAGGAGGGCUGUGGGUGGAGGGUUUACCAAGAGGCAUGAAGAAAUUCGGGAACGAUGGAUAUGUUCAUUCUCACCAUCAUGAUCUUUUCUUUUUUUUUUUUAACAUUUCAUAUUA